AUUGAACGCUGGCGGCAUGCUUUACACAUGCAAGUCGGACGGCAGCACAGAGAAGCUUGCUUCUUGGGUGGCGAGUGGCGAACGGGUGAGUAAUAUAUCGGAACGUACCGAGUAAUGGGGGAUAACUAAUCGAAAGAUUAGCUAAUACCGCAUAUUCUCUGAGGAGGAAAGCAGGGGACCUACGGGCCUUGCGUUAUUCGAGCGGCCGAUAUCUGAUUAGCUAGUUGGUGGGGUAAAGGCCUACCAAGGCGACGAUCAGUAGCGGGUCUGAGAGGAUGAUCCGCCACACUGGGGCUGGGACACGGCCCAGACUCCUGCGGGAGGCAGCAGUGGGGAAUUUUGGACAAUGGGCGCAAGCCUGAUCCAGCCAUGCCGCGUGUCUGAAGAAGGCCUUCGGGUUGUAAAGGACUUUUGUCAGGGAAGAAAAGGCUGUUGCUAAUACCGACAGCUGAUGACGGUACCUGAAGAAUAAGCACCGGCUAACUACGUG
This 490-nucleotide ribosomal RNA is filed under the name uncultured bacterium. Its description in RNAcentral is "partial 16S ribosomal RNA". It matches the Rfam family "Bacterial small subunit ribosomal RNA", at positions 30 to 507 of the family's 1533-position model. The record is from RNAcentral.